This 286-nucleotide ribosomal RNA is filed under the name uncultured bacterium. RNAcentral's name for it is "partial 16S ribosomal RNA". It matches the Rfam family "Bacterial small subunit ribosomal RNA", at positions 28 to 310 of the family's 1533-position model. The record is from RNAcentral.
GAUGAACGCUAGCGGCAGGGCUUAACACAUGCAAGUCGAGGGGUAUAGUUCUUCGGAACUAGAGACCGGCGCACGGGUGCGUAAACGCGUAAUGCGAAUCUACCCUUUUGCAGAGGGAUAGCCCAGAGAAAUUUGGAUUAAUACCUCAUGGUAAUGUGAGAAUGGCAUCAUUUUCACAUUAAAGUCACAACGGCAAAAGAUGAGCAUGCGUCCCAUUAGCUAGUUGGUAAGGUAACGGCUUACCAAGGCAACGAUGGGUAGGGGUCCUGAGAGGGAGAUCCCCCCA